Molecule: ribosomal RNA, 440 nt
Filed under: uncultured bacterium
Lineage: Bacteria
Description: bacterial SSU rRNA
Rfam family: Bacterial small subunit ribosomal RNA
Source: RNAcentral
AGCGAACGCUGGCGGCAGGCUUAACACAUGCAAGUCGAGCGGGCACUUCGGUGUCAGCGGCAGACGGGUGAGUAACACGUGGGAACGUACCCUUCGGUUCGGAAUAACGCUGGGAAACUAGCGCUAAUACCGGAUACGCCCUUUUGGGGAAAGGUUACUGCCGAAGGAUCGGCCCGCGUCUGAUUAGCUAGUUGGUGGGGUAAUGGCCUACCAAGGCGACGAUCAGUAGCUGGUCUGAGAGGAUGAUCAGCCACACUGGGACUGAGACACGGCCCAGACUCCUACGGGAGGCAGCAGUGGGGAAGUAUUGGACAAUGGGCGCAAGCCUGAUCCAGCCAUGCCGCGUGAGUGAUGAAGGCCUUAGGGUUGUAAAGCUCUUUUGUCCGGGACGAUAAUGACGGUACCGGAAGAAUAAGCCCCGGCUAACUUCGUGCCAGCAG